AAACCUGGCAGGAGAGAGACAAUGAUCAUGACGGUUGUGCUCCCAGGGUGAGGUUAUCCCAUUGCACUCCUGGUGUGUUGAUGUUACGAUAUCCCCAAAUGUGGGAUACACGACUGUGAAAUUUGUAGCUGUGGGGGAUGGCAUUCGUGCUUUCCCCUG
This is a small nuclear RNA of Carcharodon carcharias (great white shark), 159 nucleotides long. RefSeq annotates it as U1 spliceosomal RNA. The transcript has a single exon. Lineage: Eukaryota; Metazoa; Chordata; Chondrichthyes; Lamniformes; Lamnidae. The record is from RefSeq and is a predicted model, not a curated record.